CUACGGGUUGCUGCAGUGGGGAAUAUUGGGCAAUGGGCGCAAGCCUGACCCAGCAACGCCGCGUGGGGGAAGAAGGUCUUCGGAUUGUAAACCUCUGUCCUUGGGGACGAAGAAGUGACGGUACCCAAGGAGGAAGCUCCGGCUAACUACGUGCCAGCAGCCGCGGUAAUACGUAGGGAGCAAGCGUUGUCCGGAAUUACUGGGCGUAAAGGGUGCGUAGGCGGCAUAUUAAGUCAGGUGUGAAAUACUCGGGCUCAACCCGGGGGCUGCAUUUGAAACUGAUAUGCUUGAGUGUGAGAGAGGAAAGUGGAAUUCCUAGUGUAGCGGUGGAAUGCGUAGAUAUUAGGAGGAACACCAGUGGCGAAGGCGACUUUCUGGCUCAUAACUGACGCUGAGGCACGAAAGCGUGGGGAGCAAACAGGAUUAGAUACCCGGGUAGUC
RNAcentral lists this ribosomal RNA (441 nucleotides) under uncultured bacterium. Its description in RNAcentral is "partial 16S ribosomal RNA". It matches the Rfam family "Bacterial small subunit ribosomal RNA", at positions 339 to 795 of the family's 1533-position model. The record is from RNAcentral.